RNAcentral lists this ribosomal RNA (235 nucleotides) under uncultured bacterium. Its description in RNAcentral is "partial 16S ribosomal RNA". It matches the Rfam family "Bacterial small subunit ribosomal RNA", at positions 15 to 236 of the family's 1533-position model. The record is from RNAcentral.
GAUCAUGGCUCAGGAUGAACGCUAGCUACAGGCUUAACACAUGCAAGUCGAGGGGCAGCAUGGUCUUAGCUUGCUAAGGCCGAUGGCGACCGGCGCACGGGUGAGUAACGCGUAUCCAACCUGCCUUACACUCUUGGACAGCCUUCUGAAAGGGAGAUUAAUACAAGAUGGUUAUCAUGAGUAAGCCAUUUUCGCUAUGAUUAAAGGUUACCGGUAGUAAGUCGUGGGGAUGCGG